CCCUACGGGAGGCAGCAGUGGGGAAUAUUGGACAAUGGGCGAAAGCCUGAUCCAGCCAUGCCGCGUGUGUGAAGAAGGCCUUCGGGUUGUAAAGCACUUUCAGUGGGGAAGAAAGCCUUGGGGCUAAUACCCUCGAGGAAGGACAUCACCCACAGAAGAAGCACCGGCUAACUCCGUGCCAGCAGCCGCGGUAAUACGGAGGGUGCGAGCGUUAAUCGGAAUUACUGGGCGUAAAGCGCGCGUAGGCGGUCUGAUAAGCCGGUUGUGAAAGCCCCGGGCUCAACCUGGGAACGGCAUCCGGAACUGUCAGGCUAGAGUGCAGGAGAGGAAGGUAGAAUUCCCGGUGUAGCGGUGAAAUGCGUAGAGAUCGGGAGGAAUACCAGUGGCGAAGGCGGCCUUCUGGACUGACACUGACGCUGAGGUGCGAAAGCGUGGGUAGCAAACAGGAUUAGAUACCCGAGUAGUC
RNAcentral lists this ribosomal RNA (466 nucleotides) under Vreelandella stevensii. Its description in RNAcentral is "partial 16S ribosomal RNA". It matches the Rfam family "Bacterial small subunit ribosomal RNA", at positions 337 to 795 of the family's 1533-position model. Lineage: Bacteria; Pseudomonadati; Pseudomonadota; Gammaproteobacteria; Oceanospirillales; Halomonadaceae. The record is from RNAcentral.